UAAUAGCUCACUAGUCGAGAGGUCCUGCGCCGAAAAUGUCCGGGGCUGAAACACAACACCGAAGCUUAGGAAUGUAUGUAAGUACAUUGGUAGAGGAGCAUUCUUAAAGGGGUGAAGCAGUACCGAUAAGGAGCUGUGGACUUUUAAGAAGAGAGAAUGCCGGAAUGAGUAGCGAGAUGGAGGUGGGAAUCCUCCAGGCCGAAUAUCCAAGGUUUCCAGAGUAAAGCUGAUCUGCUCUGGGUAAGUCGGGGCCUAAGGCGAGGUCGAAAGACGUAGUCGAUGGAUAACAGGUUGAAAUUCCUGUACUAUCCUGUAACAGAACUGUGGGGACGCAGACAGAGAGCACAAGCCGGGAAUGGAAAGACCGGUGCAAGCGAGGUAGGAGUACAUCAGGCAAAUCCGGUGUGCAAUCCGAAGACGUGAUGCGGAUCGAAAAGAAGUAGAGAAGUGUGUGAGCUGGCUGCCAAGAAAAGCCGCUAUUGUUUACAGGAUACCCGUACCGUAAACCGACACAGGUGGAUGAGGAGAGAAUCCUAAGGCCGACGGGAGAAGCAUUGUUAAGGAACUCGGCAAAAUGACUCCGUAACUUCGGGAGAAGGAGUGCCAUGCGAAUGGCCGCAGAGAAUUGGCCCAAGCAACUGUUUAGCAAAAACACAGGUCUAUGCGAAACCGAAAGGUGAGGUAUAUGGGCUGACGCCUGCCCGGUGCUGGAAGGUUAAGGGGAGAGGUUAGCGCAAGCGAAGCUUUGAACUUAAGCCCCAGUAAACGGCGGCCGUAACUAUAACGGUCCUAAGGUAGCGAAAUUCCUUGUCGGGUAAGUUCCGACCCGCACGAAAGGCGUAAUGAUUUGGGCACUGUCUCAACAAUGCACCCGGUGAAAUUGAAAUACCAGUGAAGAUGCUGGUUACCUGCGCCAGGACGGAAAGACCCCAUGGAGCUUUACUCCAGCUUGAUACUGGGAUUCGAUAUUGCAUGUACAGGAUAGGUGGGAGACUAGGAAGUGGUGACGCCAGUUGCCAUGGAGUCAAUGUUGGGAUACCACCCUUGCAGUAUUGGGUUUCUAACCAGCAGCCGUGAUCCGGCUGGGGGACAAUGUCAGGUGGGGAGUUUGACUGGGGCGGUCGCCUCCGAAAGGGUAUCGGAGGCGCUCAAAGGUUCCCUCAGAAUGGUUGGAAACCAUUCGAAGAGUGCAAAGGCAGAAGGGAGCUUGACUGCGACACCGACGGGUGGAGCAGGUACGAAAGUAGGACUUAGUGAUCCGGUGGUAUAAAGUGGGAUUGCCAUCGCUCAACGGAUAAAAGCUACCCUGGGGAUAACAGGCUUAUCACUCCCAAGAGUUCACAUCGACGGAGUGGUUUGGCACCUCGAUGUCGGCUCAUCGCAUCCUGGGGCUGAAGUAGGUCCCAAGGGUUGGGCUGUUCGCCCAUUAAAGCGGUACGCGAGCUGGGUUCAGAACGUCGUGAGACAGUUCGGUCCCUAUCCGGCGUGGGCGUAGGAUAUUUGAGAGGAGCUGCCCUUAGUACGAGAGGACCGGGGUGGACUGGCCGCUGGUGGAUCUGUUGUAUUACCAAAUGCAUAGCAGAGUAGCCAAGCCGGGACGGGAUAAACGCUGAAGGCAUCUAAGCGUGAAGCCCCCCUCAAGAUGAGAUAUCCCAUAACGUCAAGUUAGUAAGACCCCUUGAAGACGACGAGGUAGAUAGGGCAGAGGUGGAAGUGCGGUAACGCAUGGAGCUGACUGUUACUAAUAGGUCGAGGGCAUAACCAA
RNAcentral lists this ribosomal RNA (1765 nucleotides) under human gut metagenome. RNAcentral's name for it is "bacterial LSU rRNA". It matches the Rfam family "Bacterial large subunit ribosomal RNA", at positions 1135 to 2925 of the family's 2925-position model. The record is from RNAcentral.